CGCUUCGGCGACCGUCCUGGCCGAACUCGGUCGCGUCGAAUUCAUCUCUAGCCGUUGACUUCUCGCCUCCUUCUUCAAGGCCACCAACUUGUCUCGUCUAGCCUUCAGAUAAGCCUGCCUCUUCUUUAUGUCCUCCUCCGACACCUGAAACGUUCGGAUCUCUAUAAUGAACUAUUACUUGAAAGUUGGCGACGACAGGGAUUCCGUUUCCGGCGUCUUGUCCUGCUGCGAUGCCUUCAGAGCUUCUUCCAACAGGGCUCUCUCGUUAUUGUAUUUGGCCGUCAACCGCUCGUGCUCCUUGAUUAGCGACGUCUCCGAUGCCUCUAUAUCCUGCUCUUCCUCUGGAUCAUCGUCCAGAGCGUGUUUCCUGUGAACAGGUGUCGUCGUGCAAUCCGUCCGUUUCGUACAUCAAGGAGGCUGGCGUCAGACCAUACUUCUGCUCGAUCAUGUUCAGAGCCUGCAACUGCAGUUCCAAAUUCUUCUGUAUCAUCAUCCUCUUGAAUAUCUCGUACUCGUUCGCAGCCCAUAUCUGCUCGAACAGGUUCUAGAAAAUAUAACAAAAGAGUCACUACGGGACGACAAGUUUCGCAUGUUUAUUAGUUUAUUGCUCUCGUAUGCCGAAAGAAAUAUACCGCCUUUCUCCAAGAAUUGUUAUGUAAAGCGAGCGAAAGUUGGAGCGAAAUGUUGUUCUACAAUAAGCGAAAAGCAAAGAGCUAUCCGCGCGGCGACUCUUCGACCGUUGCGUAAGAAAAUUC
Long non-coding RNA from Hylaeus anthracinus, 755 nucleotides. RefSeq lists it as uncharacterized. The record is from RefSeq and is a predicted model, not a curated record. The transcript is spliced from 3 exons. NCBI's taxonomy places the organism in Eukaryota, Metazoa, Arthropoda, Insecta, Hymenoptera, Colletidae.